Molecule: ribosomal RNA, 113 nt
Filed under: Micrognathus andersonii
Lineage: Eukaryota; Metazoa; Chordata; Actinopteri; Syngnathiformes; Syngnathidae
Description: partial 16S ribosomal RNA
Source: RNAcentral
CACCCUAAAACUAGCCUCGAACCUAAAUACAACUUUUAACUUUAUAUAACCCCUUAUAUAAAACACAUGUUUAAACAAACCAUUUUUCCACCCAAGUAAGGGAGACUGAAAAG